RNAcentral lists this ribosomal RNA (476 nucleotides) under Pichia kudriavzevii. RNAcentral describes it as "eukaryotic LSU rRNA". The stretch from base 133 to 285 matches the Rfam family "5.8S ribosomal RNA". The record is from RNAcentral. Lineage: Eukaryota; Fungi; Ascomycota; Pichiomycetes; Pichiales; Pichiaceae.
CGUAGGUGAACCUGCGGAAGGAUCAUUAGCUGUGAUUUAGUACUACACUGCGUGAGCGGAACGAAAACAACAACACCUAAAAUGUGGAAUAUAGCAUAUAGUCGACAAGAGAAAUCUACGAAAAACAAACAAAACUUUCAACAACGGAUCUCUUGGUUCUCGCAUCGAUGAAGAGCGCAGCGAAAUGCGAUACCUAGUGUGAAUUGCAGCCAUCGUGAAUCAUCGAGUUCUUGAACGCACAUUGCGCCCCUCGGCAUUCCGGGGGGCAUGCCUGUUUGAGCGUCGUUUCCAUCCUGCGCGUGCGCAGAGUUGGGGGAGCGGAGCGGACGACGUGUAAAGAGCGUCGGAGCUGCGACUCGCCUGAAAGGGAGCGAAGCUGGCCGAGCGAACUAGACUUUUUUCAGGGACGCUGCUGGCCGAGAGGCGAGUGUUGCGAGACAACAAAAAGCUCGACCUCAAAAGUAUCCGCUGAACUU